AGUUGUCAUCACCCAGUACCUGCGCGGAUGUGACACUACACGAAGAGCCUACCGAUCAGGAGGAAAUUACAGUUUCCUUGAUCCCUGAACCGGUUGUGGAGGACUCCCAGACAUCUGCCACCACCACCAGAACCACCACCAUGGCCAUGGUGCUUGACAAGCAA
Molecule: long non-coding RNA, 164 nt
Organism: Neoarius graeffei (lesser salmon catfish)
Lineage: Eukaryota; Metazoa; Chordata; Actinopteri; Siluriformes; Ariidae
Exons: 2
Source: RefSeq, a predicted model, not a curated record